Molecule: ribosomal RNA, 756 nt
Filed under: Coleoptera sp. NZAC 03011301
Lineage: Eukaryota; Metazoa; Arthropoda; Insecta; Coleoptera
Description: eukaryotic LSU rRNA
Rfam family: Eukaryotic large subunit ribosomal RNA
Source: RNAcentral
UACGUGAAACCGUUCAGGGGUAAACCUGAGAAACCCGAAAGGUCGAAUGGGGAGAUUCAGUCGCGACCCGAGGGUCGGCGCGACCGUCCGGCGCGACGGCGGCCUUAACGGUCGUCCGCGCGCCUCGCGUCGCAACGCCGAUCUCGGACGCGUGCACUUCUCCCCUAGUAGGACGUCGCGAUCCGUUGGGUGCCGGUCUACGGUCCGCAGUGUAGCCCGCGAGCGCGGUUCUCCGUCGCUCGCGGACACGCGGUUAACCGACCGGCUCGCCCGACGGUUUACAGAUGGCGGGAGGCCGCGACUUCAGUUCGCGUCCGGCCCGCGGCAAGCCCGCCACGCCGCGUCGGCGAUCGGACCUGGCGCCGAUCCCGGCCGCUGGCGGCUGUUCGCCGCGGAGCUCUCGGACAGACCUCUCUGAGACGCCGAUCUGCGACGCUAUAGCUUUGGGUACUUUCAGGACCCGUCUUGAAACACGGACCAAGGAGUCUAGCGUGUGCGCGAGUCAUUGGGAUAACACUAAACCUAAAGGCGCAAUGAAAGUAAAGGUUCGUCUCGCGCGAACGGAGGGAAGACGGUCGGUCCGCAGAGACCGACCCGCACUCCCGGGGCGUCUCGUUCUCAUCGCGAGAGGAGGCGCACCAAGAGCGUACACGCUGGGACCCGAAAGAUGGUGAACUAUGCCUGGUCAGGACGAAGUCAGGGGAAACCCUGAUGGAGGUCCGUAGCGAUUCUGACGUGCAAAUCGAUCGUCGGAAC